This 531-nucleotide ribosomal RNA is filed under the name Triticum aestivum (bread wheat). RNAcentral's name for it is "partial small subunit ribosomal RNA". Lineage: Eukaryota; Viridiplantae; Streptophyta; Magnoliopsida; Poales; Poaceae. The record is from RNAcentral.
AUGGCUAGCUGGCCCAUAUCUCACAGGCCAAGACCUGUAGCUCCAGGAUAUGUGAAAAUGCCUGGUAGGCCUAAGACUCAGAGGAACAAAGAGAAGGGUGAGAAGAAAGUUUCUAAAACAAAGUUACCAAAGACAGGCACGGUGAUCAGAUGUUCGAAGUGCAAAGGGACGGGGCAUAAUAAAACAACUUGUCAUAUAAAAGAAAGCAGCCAACCAGCUCAAACUGUGAGGCAGCCCAUGGCUUCACAACAAAGCAGCAGUGCACCCAAGACUUCAAAAGGGACAAAGAGGUCUGCUUCUAACAUGUUGGCGUCUACUGUAGACAAGGGAAAAGGAGUGCAGAAACAGAAAGGGCCAUCUAAAGCUUCUAUCAAAGGGGUGCAUGUUAAUGUCAGUUCAAGCUCAGCUGUGACAGUGAAUGUGAGCUCUGGUGCUGCUAAUUCUCAGUGCAAUUCAAAAAGGCCAAAAAACUACCAAAGAAGCUACUUGAUUAGUUCCAGAAUGUGUUUGCUAGCAUUGCAAACCGUUUGA